Vicia villosa (hairy vetch) is the source of this 886-nucleotide RNA transcript. It is a transcript of the gene named stromal cell-derived factor 2-like protein, with no coding region annotated. The record is from RefSeq and is a predicted model, not a curated record. The transcript has 5 exons. NCBI's taxonomy places the organism in Eukaryota, Viridiplantae, Streptophyta, Magnoliopsida, Fabales, Fabaceae.
AGAAACUUUCCUUCUAUCUAAAACUAAAGGAUGGUACGAAGAAGGGAAUAAGGGUUCUUUUACAGUGGCUUCCUCAGGGUCACAACACCAGGGAGGACUAUCACAAAGAAAACCUUCUUCUUCAUCGAAUAAAUCGGUCGACCGAAAUCCAUUCUAAAUCAAUCUUCCAAUGUAAUGGCUCUUGGAUUCGCCGCUCUCGCUAUUUCUCUCUUUCUCACUCUCGAUCCUGAUGUUUCUCCGUCUUCUACCGCUUCUGCGUCUGCAGCUUCCUCUGAAGGCGUCGAGGUUCAGAUUACUCAUGGUUUAGUUAUAAAGCUUAUGCACGAGAAGACGAAAUCCAUGUUGCAUUCUCUUGAUGUGUCGUAUGGUUCUAGCAGUGGACAACAAUCGGUUACUGGUUUUCCUACUUUUGAUGAUUCCAACAGUGACUGGAUGCAAAAUACUUUUGAAAGGAUUCUACAAGUUUAAUAAUUGUUAGGAAUUGGAGGUAGAUAAGGAUGCUAGAGUUGAAUUUCCACCAAGAGAAGAAAAUAGUGUCCCAUUCUUCAUGCCUCCUCAAAUUCGUUCGAUUAUUCAUUCUGCGCAGAAUUUGAUGAUGCUUCUUUUCAGGCUUCUCUUCAAUUAGAUGCAUCUGACCUUAGGUUUGUUUUAUGUAUUUCGCUAUAUGGAAGUGUUGCAAUCAUGGGAUUUCUCACAUUUGGCGACAACACUUUGUCUUGAUAAUAUUGAAUAUGUCGGUUGGUGCAUUUGCUUCCAAAGUUGCAUUGUGGAUAACAAUAAGUUUGAAAACUUGUUGGCCUCUCAAUUCUAUUUUAAUAGUUUCUUUUUAGAGAACAAGUUAUUUAUUUGAACAAGUUAUUUAUUCCAGAUGUUGUUUUCCUUGAUA